This 478-nucleotide ribosomal RNA is filed under the name uncultured bacterium. RNAcentral describes it as "partial 16S ribosomal RNA". It matches the Rfam family "Bacterial small subunit ribosomal RNA", at positions 28 to 507 of the family's 1533-position model. The record is from RNAcentral.
GACGAACGCUGGCGGCGUGCUUAACACAUGCAAGUCGAACGUGAUGUUUGUGGAAAUUCUGUCGGGAAUGGAGAUGAAAUGAAAGUGGCGACCGGGUGAGUAACACGUGAGCAACCUACCUUACACAGGGGGAUAGCCGUUAGAAACGACGAGUAAUACCGCAUGAGACCACAGAAUCGCAUGAUAUAGGGGUCAAAGAUGUAUGGGUGUAAGAUGGGCUCGCGUCUGAUUAGCUGGUUGGAAGGGUAAAGGCCUGCCAAGGCGACGAUGAGUAGCCGGUCUGAGAGGAGGAACGGCCACAUUGGAACUGAGACACGGUCCAAUCUCCUACGGGGAGCAGCAGUAGGGAAUAUUGCACGAUGGAGGGAACCCUGAUGCAGCGACGCCGCGUGAGCGAAGAAGGGGUUCGAAUCGUAAAGCCCUGUCCGAUGAGAAGAGAGUGACGGUAUCAUAGGAAGAAGCACCGGCUAAAUACGUG